UGUUCAUCCUCUGUCUAAUAGCGCAGAGCGGAGGGGGCUGUGUCAAGGGUAUAAGGUCGGCUCUGGAUAAACACCCAGGGGUUCUGUACGCCACUUGCAUCUUAAUGCCCUCUCUUUUUUGUACUGAGGCAGGACCCACUGGGCGUGACGCACGGGCGAGUGCGGGUGAGGGUGCAAUAUUUACAUUUACACAGGAUCGAGAGCUCUUCUACCCUUACAAGCGGCCCCUCAUGACGUAAUGUUUGUGGAGAUCAUCAGCUCGUUCAUACACAGCUCGUUUAGUGCACAUAGACAGUGAUGUCACAGUGUCACUGAGUAGUCAAAGUUGGGGGUAAGGAAAGGGAUCACAUUUCGAGAAGGAAGAGUGAAGAAGAGAAGGAUGAGGAGGAAGAGGAGGGGAAAGAAGAGGGUGAAAGAACUAGAUUGAAACAUUUCUCUGUUUUUAAAUAAAUAGAGAACUCUCA
Oncorhynchus tshawytscha (Chinook salmon) is the source of this 464-nucleotide long non-coding RNA. NCBI's taxonomy places the organism in Eukaryota, Metazoa, Chordata, Actinopteri, Salmoniformes, Salmonidae. The record is from Ensembl.